This 562-nucleotide long non-coding RNA is filed under the name Homo sapiens (human). RNAcentral describes it as "non-protein coding lnc-APOL1-6:1". Lineage: Eukaryota; Metazoa; Chordata; Mammalia; Primates; Hominidae. The record is from RNAcentral.
AUUUCCAAGUAUUUUAUUUCUAUCAUCUAGUCACCUGAUUAACAACUGGCUAAUCUCCAUUCAACAGCGACUAAUUCAACUCAUAUUAAAACAAAUGAUAAUAAUACAUAAUACCAAUGGAUGAAGCUGAUCCCUUAUACUAAUUUCAUGUAUUCUGUUUAUUGGCUCAACUAAUUUACUAGGAGGCUUCCCACUCACACCAACUACUCAACUCUCAAUAAAUUUAGGUAUAGCUAUUCCAGUAUGAGCAGGAGCAGUAAUUACUGGUUUUUGUCACAAAACAAAAGCAUCCCUUGCUUAUUUCCUACCACAAGGAAUGCCUAUUUAACUUCUCUCUUUUCUAGUCAUCGUCAAAACCAUUAGCCUUUUCAUUCAACCAAUAGCCUUACCCAUAUGAUUGACAGCCAAUAUUACAACUGUAAAUGUAAAUUAUACAUUUAACUGGAGGUGCCAUCUUAGUAUCAACAUCUAUUAGCCUACCCACAGCCUCAGUCCCAUUUAUUACCUUGAUUUUACUAGCCGUUCUUGAAUUUGCCAUGGUUUUAAUCCAAGCAUAUGUUUU